AAGAUAACCCAUAAUCAGAAAACCCUAACUCAGAAGCAAUAUCUCGAUCUCUAAAUCUCUCAAAAGAUAACCCAUAAUCAGAAAACCCUAACUCAGAAGCAAUCUCUCAAUCUAUUCAGCAGAAACUCAAAGGAUUAAUCUCUCGAACUCAAUCAGAUCUCACCAAGGGGCAUAACUGCAAUAAUGAAGACUAGCAAGGAAGCAGUAAAGAAGAAGCCGGUCAAGCAGUUGGAAAUAAAGAUGAAAAACAAAGAGAAGACUGAUGAAGCAUCCCUGAUAAAUAACAAGUCCAAAACUGAUAAUGCUGAA
Molecule: long non-coding RNA, 309 nt
Organism: Papaver somniferum (opium poppy)
Lineage: Eukaryota; Viridiplantae; Streptophyta; Magnoliopsida; Ranunculales; Papaveraceae
Exons: 3
Source: RefSeq, a predicted model, not a curated record